CGAAUUCAGACAAACUCCGAAUGCCAAUUAAUUUAACUUGGGAGUCAGAACAUGGGUGAUAAGGUCCGUGUUCGAAAGGGAAACAGCCCAGACCACCAGCUAAGGUCCCAAAAUAUAUGUUAAGUGGAAAAGGAUGUGGCGUUGCCCAGACAACUAGGAUGUUGGCUUAGAAGCAGCCAUCAUUUAAAGAGUGCGUAAUAGCUCACUAGUCGAGUGACACUGCGCCGAAAAUGUACCGGGGCUAAACAUAUUACCGAAGCUGUGGAUUGUCCUUUGGACAAUGGUAGGAGAGCGUUCU
RNAcentral lists this ribosomal RNA (298 nucleotides) under Staphylococcus aureus. RNAcentral describes it as "partial 23S ribosomal RNA". It matches the Rfam family "Bacterial large subunit ribosomal RNA", at positions 940 to 1242 of the family's 2925-position model. Lineage: Bacteria; Bacillati; Bacillota; Bacilli; Caryophanales; Staphylococcaceae. The record is from RNAcentral.